GGGGAGUUGAUUAAGCUAUUGAAAGAGUUUUGAAGGACUCAAAGCUAGUAGGAACAUCAAAACCUAAAGCAAGAACAACAAGAGGUAAGAACAAGGGCAAGGCAGAGCAGUGAGCGCUGGAGUCUACCUUGCGAAUGUACAUGUGGACCGACCUUUUGGGAAGCCGUUUUAUUUUUGGAAAUGUUAUGUUAUUUUCAUAAACUAGGCUCACUAUACUCUUUAUAAAAUAUGUUUGUUUUUAAAUAUUAA
Long non-coding RNA from Humulus lupulus (European hop), 249 nucleotides. RefSeq lists it as uncharacterized. The transcript is spliced from 2 exons. Lineage: Eukaryota; Viridiplantae; Streptophyta; Magnoliopsida; Rosales; Cannabaceae. The record is from RefSeq and is a predicted model, not a curated record.